RNAcentral lists this ribosomal RNA (455 nucleotides) under uncultured bacterium. RNAcentral's name for it is "bacterial SSU rRNA". It matches the Rfam family "Bacterial small subunit ribosomal RNA", at positions 8 to 463 of the family's 1533-position model. The record is from RNAcentral.
AGAGUUUGAUCCUGGCUCAGAUUGAACGCUGGCGGCAUGCUUUACACAUGCAAGUCGAACGGCAGCACGGGUGCUUGCACCUGGUGGCGAGUGGCGAACGGGUGAGUAAUGCACCGGAACGUACCCAGUAAUGGGGGAUAACACAUCGAAAGAUGUGCUAAUACCGCAUACGCCCUGAGGGGGAAAGCGGGGGAUCGUAAGACCUCGCGUUAUUGGAGCGGCCGAUGCCGGAUUAGCUAGUUGGUGAGGUAAGUGCUCACCAAGGCGACGAUCCGUAGCUGGUCUGAGAGGACGACCAGCCACACUGGGACUGAGACACGGCCCAGACUCCUACGGGAGGCAGCAGUGGGGAAUUUUGGACAAUGGGCGCAAGCCUGAUCCAGCCAUGCCGCGUGAGUGAAGAAGGCCUUCGGGUUGUAAAGCUCUUUCGCAAGGAAAGAAAACUUAUCUACUAA